GCAAGUCGAGCGGUAACAGAAAGUAGCUUGCUACUUUGCUGACGAGCGGCGGACGGGUGAGUAAUGCUUGGGAACAUGCCUUGAGGUGGGGGACAACAGUUGGAAACGACUGCUAAUACCGCAUAAUGUCUACGGACCAAAUGGGGCUUCGGCUCUCGCCUUUAGAUUGGCCUGAGUGGUAUCAGCUAGUUGGUGAGGUAAUGGCUCACCAAGGCGAUGAUGCCUAGCUGGUUUGAGAGGAUGAUC
This 246-nucleotide ribosomal RNA is filed under the name uncultured bacterium. RNAcentral's name for it is "partial 16S ribosomal RNA". It matches the Rfam family "Bacterial small subunit ribosomal RNA", at positions 57 to 305 of the family's 1533-position model. The record is from RNAcentral.